This 497-nucleotide ribosomal RNA is filed under the name uncultured bacterium. RNAcentral's name for it is "partial 16S ribosomal RNA". It matches the Rfam family "Bacterial small subunit ribosomal RNA", at positions 28 to 507 of the family's 1533-position model. The record is from RNAcentral.
GACGAACGCUGGCGGCGUGCCUAAUACAUGCAAGUUGAGCGCUGAAGGUUGGUACUUGUACCGACUGGAUGAGCAGCGAACGGGUGAGUAACGCGUGGGGAAUCUGCCUUUGAGCGGGGGACAACAUUUGGAAACGAAUGCUAAUACCGCAUAAAAACUUUAAACACAAGUUUUAAGUUUGAAAGAUGCAAUUGCAUCACUCAAAGAUGAUCCCGCGUUGUAUUAGCUAGUUGGUGAGGUAAAGGCUCACCAAGGCGAUGAUACAUAGCCGACCUGAGAGGGUGAUCGGCCAAAUUGGGACUGAGACACGGCCCAAACUCCUACGGGAGGCAGCAGUAGGGGAACUUCGGAAAUAGACGAAAGUCUAACCGAGCAACGCCGCGUGAGUGAAGAAGGUUUUCGGAUCGUAAAACUCUGUUGGUAGAGAAGAACGUUGGGGAGAGUGGAAAGCUCAUCAAGUGACGGUAACUACCCAGAAAGGGACGGCUAACUACGUG